This 153-nucleotide ribosomal RNA is filed under the name Panagrolaimus subelongatus. Its description in RNAcentral is "partial small subunit ribosomal RNA". It matches the Rfam family "Eukaryotic small subunit ribosomal RNA", at positions 93 to 237 of the family's 1831-position model. Lineage: Eukaryota; Metazoa; Nematoda; Chromadorea; Rhabditida; Panagrolaimidae. The record is from RNAcentral.
UAUGGCUCAUUAUAACAGCUAAAAUUUACUUGAUUUUGACUUUUAUCCUACAUGGAUAACUGUGGUAAUUCUGGAGCUAAUACAUGCAUAAAAGAUAUAACAUUUAAUAUGUUAUAUUGCGUAUAUUAGUAUUAAAACCAAGCAUUCCUUCGG